RNAcentral lists this ribosomal RNA (253 nucleotides) under uncultured bacterium. RNAcentral describes it as "partial 16S ribosomal RNA". It matches the Rfam family "Bacterial small subunit ribosomal RNA", at positions 524 to 776 of the family's 1533-position model. The record is from RNAcentral.
UACAGAGGUGGCGAGCGUUAUUCGGAAUUAUUGGGCGUGAAGGGCGCGUAGGCGGCUGGGCAAGUCCAAGGUGAAAUCCCUCGGCUCAACCGAGGAACUGCCUUGGAAACUGCCUAGCUCGAGGCCGGGAGAGGGUGGUGGAAUUCCCAGUGUAGCGGUGAAAUGCGUAGAUAUUGGGAGGAACACCGGUGGCGAAGGCGGCCACCUGGACCGGUUCUGACGCUGAGGCGCGAAAGCGUGGGGAUCAAACAGG